UACACUCCUGCGGGAGGCAGCAGUGGGGAAUUUUGGACAAUGGGCGAAAGCCUGAUCCAGCAAUGCCGCGUGAGUGAAGAAGGCCUUCGGGUUGUAAAGCUCUUUUGUCAGGGAAGAAACGGUGAAAGCUAAUAUCUUUUGCUAAUGACGGUACCUGAAGAAUAAGCACCGGCUAACUACGUGCCAGCAGCCGCGGUAAUACGUAGGGUGCAAGCGUUAAUCGGAAUUACUGGGCGUAAAGCGUGCGCAGGCGGUUUUGUAAGUCUGAUGUGAAAUCCCCGGGCUCAACCUGGGAAUUGCAUUGGAGACUGCAAGGCUAGAAUCUGGCAGAGGGGGGUAGAAUUCCACGUGUAGCAGUGAAAUGCGUAGAUAUGUGGAGGAACACCGAUGGCGAAGGCAGCCCCCUGGGUCAAGAUUGACGCUCAUGCACGAAAGCGUGGGGAGCAAACAGGAUUAGAUACCCGAGUAGUCCCAUG
RNAcentral lists this ribosomal RNA (476 nucleotides) under uncultured organism. Its description in RNAcentral is "partial 16S ribosomal RNA". It matches the Rfam family "Bacterial small subunit ribosomal RNA", at positions 332 to 799 of the family's 1533-position model. The record is from RNAcentral.